This 496-nucleotide ribosomal RNA is filed under the name uncultured bacterium. RNAcentral describes it as "partial 16S ribosomal RNA". It matches the Rfam family "Bacterial small subunit ribosomal RNA", at positions 29 to 507 of the family's 1533-position model. The record is from RNAcentral.
AUGCACGCUGGCGGCGUGCCUAAUACAUGCAAGUCGAGCGAACAGAUGAGGAGCUUGCUCCUCUGACGUUAGCGGCGGACGGGUGAGUAACACGUGGAUAACCUACCUAUAAGCCUGGGAUAACUUCGGGAAACCGGAGCUAAUACCGGAUAAUAUAUUGAACCGCAUGGUUCAAUAGUGAAAGACGGUUUUGCUGUCACUUAUAGAUGGAUCCGCGCCGCAUUAGCUAGUUGGUAAGGUAACGGCUUACCAAGGCAACGAUGCGUAGCCGACCUGAGAGGGUGAUCGGCCACACUGGAACUGAGACACGGUCCAGACUCCUACGGGAGGCAGCAGUAGGGAAUCUUCCGCAAUGGGCGAAAGCCUGACGGAGCAACGCCGCGUGAGUGAUGAAGGUCUUCGGAUCGUAAAACUCUGUUAUUAGGGAAGAACAAAUGUGUAAGUAACUAUGCACGUCUUGACGGUACCUAAUCAGAAAGCCACGGCUAACUACGUG